Molecule: long non-coding RNA, 785 nt
Organism: Zophobas morio
Lineage: Eukaryota; Metazoa; Arthropoda; Insecta; Coleoptera; Tenebrionidae
Exons: 4
Source: RefSeq, a predicted model, not a curated record
AUCGUCACGAAUUCAUUCCGCCGGGUAUAAAAGGCGCGAAGAAGUCCCUUUCAGCAUAGUCUUCUUUGACAUUUCCACUCAAAAUGUUCCGCUACGUAAAAAUUGUCGCUGUCGUCGCCCUCUGGGUCGCCAGUCUGGUCGCGGUUGCCACAGCUCAAGGCGAGGAGGACGAGGAGGAAUGAGCGCUGUGGACCACCCACCAACCCCCUGAACCGGAUUAAUUUCGUUAGAAAUAAUAAGCACUGACCUUUGCACUGCACUUGAAAUAAAAAUGUAAAAAAAACUGUUGUUUUUUAAUGUAUUGAUAAUCUUCGACGUGACGUCAUCGCGCUUCUAGAUUCGCGAUUGUUUUAAAAGUUAAAUAUUCGCACAAAUGGGUUUCUAAACACUAAUUUUACAUAAAACCCUGAUUAUCAUAGAUAUUCUUCGCUAUCUUUUUCGAAUUAAAAUACAAAUUGUUAAUGUAACCUUGUCGUUCUAGCUCUGUCAUUAAAUGUACACACUAUGUAUAUACAAUUUUUAAACUGAAUACUUAAAAGAGAGUUCGAAAAACGGCCAAGUUUGGACUGGUCGAGCCAUGAUUAAGCAUGUGAUGGUGAGAAACAUUUUUUUAAAUUUCGGAUUUAUGUUUGUAUAUAUAGUUUGACUUAAUUUAUUUGUCAGGUAGUUACUGCGAUUAUCGUAUGGGUUGUUACCGUUGUAAUAUUUUCUUCGUAUACUUGCAGCAAAAGAAACCCGACUAAUAGUCAUGGAAGAUCAUUUAUACAAAUGUUAAUAUACAAACG